This 484-nucleotide ribosomal RNA is filed under the name uncultured bacterium. RNAcentral describes it as "partial 16S ribosomal RNA". It matches the Rfam family "Bacterial small subunit ribosomal RNA", at positions 29 to 507 of the family's 1533-position model. The record is from RNAcentral.
AUUGAACGCUGGCGGCAUGCUUUACACAUGCAAGUCGAACGGCAGCGCGGGCUUCGGCCUGGCGGCGAGUGGCGAACGGGUGAGUAAUACAUCGGAACGUGCCCAGUAGUGGGGGAUAGCUCGGCGAAAGCGGGAUUAAUACCGCAUACGACCUGAGGGUGAAAGCGGGGGAUCUUCGGACCUCGCGCUAUUGGAGGGGCCGAUGGCAGAUUAGCUAGUUGGUGGGGUAAAGGCCUACCAAGGCGACGAUCUGUAGCUGGUCUGAGAGGACGACCAGCCACACUGGAACUGAGACACGGCCCAGACUCCUACGGGAGGCAGCAGUGGGGAAUAUUGGACAAUGGGCGAAAGCCUGAUCCAGCAAUGCCGCGUGUGUGAUGAAGGCCUUCGGGUUGUAAAGCACUUUUGGCGGGAACGAAAAGGACUGUGCCAAUACCACGGUUCGAUGACGGUACCCGCAGAAUAAGCACCGGCUAACUACGUG